GAGCAUCACCCCAGCUUUCUGGAGGUUGUUGGUGAUUUUACAGACAUGUAUUUUAGGGUUCAUUUUCACAGCUUUUAUAAUUUGUCUGUCAUCAUCUACUGUUGUUUUUCUCAGCCAAUAAGGUCGUCAUUGAUUGCUGAUGUCGCCGAGUCGGCUACCUCUUCUUCAUCCUGGUUUGCGUGUGUCAUCAUUGAAUGCAAGACUUAGAAUGCAGAAGCAAUGGAUAUGACACAUUCCCUGCUUUUAAUAUCUGAAGAAUGAAUGCAACAGCUAAACACUUAGAAAGACCUGUGAGGCAACUGUUCCAAUGAUCUUCUUAGCUGGUAAAACAUCUUUGUGUUGAAUCAACCAUUAAUAAAAUGUGACAUUCUGCA
Molecule: long non-coding RNA, 374 nt
Organism: Carassius gibelio (silver crucian carp)
Lineage: Eukaryota; Metazoa; Chordata; Actinopteri; Cypriniformes; Cyprinidae
Exons: 2
Source: RefSeq, a predicted model, not a curated record